This 455-nucleotide ribosomal RNA is filed under the name uncultured Agromyces sp. Its description in RNAcentral is "bacterial SSU rRNA". It matches the Rfam family "Bacterial small subunit ribosomal RNA", at positions 337 to 796 of the family's 1533-position model. The record is from RNAcentral. Lineage: Bacteria; Bacillati; Actinomycetota; Actinomycetes; Micrococcales; Microbacteriaceae.
UCCUACGGGAGGCAGCAGUGGGGAAUAUUGCACAAUGGGCGCAAGCCUGAUGCAGCAACGCCGCGUGCGGGAUGACGGCCUUCGGGUUGUAAACCGCUUUUAGUAAGGAAGAAGGGGAGCUUGCUCCUUGACGGUACUUGCAGAAAAAGGACCGGCUAACUACGUGCCAGCAGCCGCGGUAAUACGUAGGGUCCGAGCGUUGUCCGGAAUUAUUGGGCGUAAAGAGCUCGUAGGCGGUUUGUCGCGUCUGCCGUGAAAUCCUCAGGCUCAACCGGAGGUUGGCGGUGGGUACGGGCAGACUUGAGUGGUGUAGGGGAGACUGGAAUUCCUGGUGUAGCGGUGGAAUGCGCAGAUAUCAGGAGGAACACCGAUGGCGAAGGCAGGUCUCUGGGCACUUACUGACGCUGAGGAGCGAAAGCGUGGGGAGCGAACAGGAUUAGAUACCCCGGUAGUCG